Molecule: ribosomal RNA, 460 nt
Filed under: uncultured bacterium
Lineage: Bacteria
Description: bacterial SSU rRNA
Rfam family: Bacterial small subunit ribosomal RNA
Source: RNAcentral
AAUCAGCCGGUACUCCGAAUGCAUCUUAGUAUUAGAGUUUGAUCAUGGCUCAGGACGAACGCUGGCGGCGUGCCUAAUACAUGCAAGUCGAGCGAACAGAUAAGGAGCUUGCUCCUUUGACGUUAGCGGCGGACGGGUGAGUAAACACGUGGGCAACCUACCCUAUAGUUUGGGAUAACUCCGGGAAACCGGAGCUAAUACCGAAUAAUCUAUUUCUCCUCAUGGUGAAAUACUGAAAGACGGUUUCGGCUGUCGCUAUAGGAUGGCCCGCGGCUGCAUUAGCUAGUUGGUGAGGUAACGGCUCACCAAGGCGACGAUGCGUAGCCGUACCUGAGAGGGUGAUCGGCCACACUGGGACUGAGACACGGCCCAGACUCCUACGUGGAGGCAGCAGUAGGGAAUCUUCCACAAUGGGCGAAAGCCUGAUGGAUGCAACGCCGCGUGAGUGAAGAAGGUUUUC